CUGCUGGGAUUCUAUUUUUACCUUCUAGAGAAGAAUUUCUCAUUUUAUUGGAGUGAUUUUCCUUGCACGUGUGGCUGACACAGUAAAACUUUCAAAUUCCUAACAAGUUGGUCUUCUGGGACUGAACAAAAAUGGGUUGAAGGGGGCAGUGGUGGAAGUAAAAAUCAUCCUUUGCUCUCACCGAAGUAGAGACAGCAGUGGCGUGUUAUCCUAAACCUGGAACUGGGAUCAGAAGAUAUGAAUUCAAGGCACUGGCUCUGCAACCAUUGUGCUUGUUGACAUUGUGAAAAUUAUAUAAUCUCUCAGCCUCAGUUACCUUAGACACAAAGGGGAAUAAGUAUGACUUAUUCUGUGCUAUUUCUGA
This 364-nucleotide long non-coding RNA is filed under the name Homo sapiens (human). RNAcentral's name for it is "long non-coding RNA NONHSAT198054". The record is from RNAcentral. Lineage: Eukaryota; Metazoa; Chordata; Mammalia; Primates; Hominidae.